CCUACGUGUGGCAGCAGUGAGGAAUAUUGGUCAAUGGGCGCGAGCCUGAACCAGCCAAGUCGCGUGAGGGAAGACGGUCCUAUGGAUUGUAAACCUCUUUUGUCGGGGAGCAAAAGACGCCACGCGUGGCGUUCCGAGAGUACCCGAAGAAAAAGCAUCGGCUAACUCCGUGCCAGCAGCCGCGGUAAUACGGAGGAUGAGAGCCUUAUCCGGAUUUAUUGGGUUUAAAGGGUGCGCAGGCGGAAGAUCAAGUCAGCGGUAAAAUUGAGAGGCUCAACCUCUUCGAGCCGUUGAAACUGGUUUUCUUGAGUGAGUGAGAAGUAUGCGGAAUUCGUGGUGUAGCGGGGAAAUGCUUAGAUAUCACGAAGAACCCCGAUGGCGAAGGCAGCUUACUAAACUGUGACUGACAUUGAGGCUCGAAAGUGUGGGUAUCAAACAGGAUUAGAUACCCUUGUAGUC
This 459-nucleotide ribosomal RNA is filed under the name uncultured bacterium. RNAcentral's name for it is "partial 16S ribosomal RNA". It matches the Rfam family "Bacterial small subunit ribosomal RNA", at positions 338 to 795 of the family's 1533-position model. The record is from RNAcentral.